Molecule: long non-coding RNA, 580 nt
Filed under: Bos mutus (wild yak)
Lineage: Eukaryota; Metazoa; Chordata; Mammalia; Artiodactyla; Bovidae
Description: lncRNA (ENSBMUG00000016637.1)
Source: RNAcentral
UCCUCUGUGCUACAUCCUUCUUACUGGAUCUUUCUAUCAGUGAACAUUGUGGAAGUACCAUUACUACAUCGUCAUUCCUGAAGGAAAAGUUGCCAAACUUUUUUCUUUGGAGUUGUUUCAAAGUUGUUGGAAUUUUUGAUGAUGCCUCCCCUAUGUGGAUUACUACUGUUUGAACACUGGGAAUUCUCCAUCUUAAAGAAGCGCUCCCAGGUGACUACAGAAGCCUCGACACCCAGCGUGAUCAGUGAGUAAAUUUCCAAGCCAUCAAGAAGAAAUACGGUUGUCUCUCCAGCGUUCCAACAGGACCAUUCCAACAUCACUUGAACGUAAGCUCAAUGAAAACUGGCCUUUUCCUAUGUUUGGUUCACUGCUGGGACCCGGCACCUAGGGAAGAACCUCUUCAAUAACAAUACUCAGUGGAUUUUCCUUAAAUUACUGAGACUGUGGAAGGCUGGUUGUGUUGGAGGUACUCUGCAAGGCAUUGGAAAUAUUGGGAAAGUAAAUCCAGGGUCCACAACCUCAUCAUCUACCAGGUAGGAAGAAAAAUAAACAGAAAAUCACAGUUUGUAACCUGUGCUCC